This 583-nucleotide ribosomal RNA is filed under the name uncultured bacterium. RNAcentral describes it as "bacterial SSU rRNA". It matches the Rfam family "Bacterial small subunit ribosomal RNA", at positions 338 to 911 of the family's 1533-position model. The record is from RNAcentral.
CCUACGGGAGGCAGCAGUGGGGAAUCUUCCGCAAUGGACGAAAGUCUGACGGAGCAACGCCGCGUGAGUGAUGAAGGCUUUCGGGUCGUAAAACUCUGUUGUUAGGGAAGAACAAGUGCUAGUUGAAUAAGCUGGCACCUUGACGGUACCUAACCAGAAAGCCACGGCUAACUACGUGCCAGCAGCCGCGGUAAUACGUAGGUGGCAAGCGUUAUCCGGAAUUAUUGGGCGUAAAGCGCGCGCAGGUGGUUUCUUAAGUCUGAUGUGAAAGCCCACGGCUCAACCGUGGAGGGUCAUUGGAAACUGGGAGACUUGAGUGCAGAAGAGGAAAGUGGAAUUCCAUGUGUAGCGGUGAAAUGCGUAGAGAUAUGGAGGAACACCAGUGGCGAAGGCGACUUUCUGGUCUGUAACUGACACUGAGGCGCGAAAGCGUGGGGAGCAAACAGGAUUAGAUACCCUGGUAGUCCACGCCGUAAACGAUGAGUGCUAAGUGUUAGAGGGUUUCCGCCCUUUAGUGCUGAAGUUAACGCAUUAAGCACUCCGCCUGGGGAGUACGGCCGCAAGGCUGAAACUCAAAGGAAUU